This 549-nucleotide ribosomal RNA is filed under the name Triticum aestivum (bread wheat). Its description in RNAcentral is "partial small subunit ribosomal RNA". Lineage: Eukaryota; Viridiplantae; Streptophyta; Magnoliopsida; Poales; Poaceae. The record is from RNAcentral.
AUGGAGCCCGACGUCUUCAGGGCCUUGAGGUCAGCGUGGGCGCGGGACGCCUCUGGCAGCGAGUGGGUGUGCUUCACGCGGAUGUGCAACAGAUAUAGUUUCUUUGGUUUCAUCAGCAACAACAAGCUAUCGUCAAUCAAUUUUGGUCUGCUGGUCUAUCCCGGGCAAUCAUCUUUGAACCAAUUGCAAGAGGAGCUGAUGUUGAGCUCCCUACUGAAGCGGACGAGCCGCUGGAACUCGAACGACGACGACCCCACCUCCGCCACAUCCAACCUCAACUGUUGCGCCAUGGCUUGGGCCGCCUCCUUGAUUUCGUCGGACACCAUGGCCUUCCUCACCGUCCUCUCGACAACGCCUCUGUCACAGACGUCUUUCAUGUUCAGCCCCGUCCUCCACACGGCGCCCACGAAGCGGCUGUUGGUCUGCUGGUCGGCGAAGAAGGGCCAUCACACCAUCGGCACGCCCUCGACGGCGCACUCCAGCGUCGAGUUCCAUCCGGCGUGUGUCAGGAAGCAGCCCACCGCCCGAUGGCGCAAUACGUCUCGCUGA